UACGUAGGGUGCAAGCGUUAAGCGGAAUUACUGGGCGUAAAGCGUGCGCAGGCGGCUUUGCAAGACAGAUGUGAAAUCCCCGGGCUUAACCUGGGAACUGCAUUUGUGACUGCAUGGCUGGAGUGCGGCAGAGGGGGAUGGAAUUCCGCGUGUAGCAGUGAAAUGCGUAGAUAUCUGGAGGAAUACCGGUGGCGAAGGCGGCAUCCUGGACCAUUACUGACGCUGAAUCGCGAAAGCUAGGGGAGCAAACGGG
RNAcentral lists this ribosomal RNA (253 nucleotides) under uncultured bacterium. RNAcentral describes it as "partial 16S ribosomal RNA". It matches the Rfam family "Bacterial small subunit ribosomal RNA", at positions 524 to 776 of the family's 1533-position model. The record is from RNAcentral.